GAUGAACGCUGGCGGCGUGCCUAAUACAUGCAAGUCGAGCGAACGGACGAGAAGCUUGCUUCUCUGAUGUUAGCGGCGGACGGGUGAGUAACACGUGGAUAACCUACCUAUAAGACUGGGAUAACUUCGGGAAACCGGAGCUAAUACCGGAUGAUAUUUUGAACCGCAUGGUUCAAAAGUGAAAGACGGUCCUGCUGUCACUUAUAGAUGGAUCCGCGCUGCAUUAGCUAGUUGGUAAGGUAACGGCUUACCAAGGCAACGAUGCAUAGCCGACCUGAGAGGGUGAUCGGCCACACUGGAACUGAGACACGGUCCAGACUCCUACGGGAGGCAGCAGUAGGGAAUCUUCCGCAAUGGGCGAAAGCCUGACGGAGCAACGCCGCGUGAGUGAUGAAGGUCUUCGGAUCGUAAAACUCUGUUAUUAGGGAAGAACAUAUGUGUAAGUAACUGUGCACAUCUUGACAGUACCUAAUCAGAAAGCCACGGCUAACUACGUG
RNAcentral lists this ribosomal RNA (497 nucleotides) under uncultured bacterium. RNAcentral describes it as "partial 16S ribosomal RNA". It matches the Rfam family "Bacterial small subunit ribosomal RNA", at positions 28 to 507 of the family's 1533-position model. The record is from RNAcentral.